Non-coding RNA from Callithrix jacchus (white-tufted-ear marmoset), 12575 nucleotides. Lineage: Eukaryota; Metazoa; Chordata; Mammalia; Primates; Cebidae. The record is from RefSeq and is a predicted model, not a curated record.
UGUUAUGCCUCUUUUAAUCUAAAUCAGCCUCUGCUUACUAUUUUUAAUUCCCAUUUCAUGAGUUCUUUGUGGAAAGUUAAUUCUCAUUAAAUAGCAUGCUCACGAUAUUGAAGGGUUAAAGAACACUGAUCUCAUGGCUGCAGCGCAGAUGAAAGCGUAGCCUGAAAUGCACUACUGUAAGGCAGUCAAUGGAGGACGGUUAUUACAGUCACGGGCAGAUAGUAGCAUAAAGCUGCUUCCAAAUAGUGUUUAUGACUGGGCACAUUGGCUUCUGCCUGUAAUCUUAGCACUUUCGGAGGCCAAGGUGGAUGGAUCAGCUGAGGUCAGGAGUUGGAGACCAGCCUGGCCAACAUAGUUAAGCCCUGUCUCUACUAAAAAUAUACAAAAAUUAGACAGGCAUGCUGGCCGGCACCUGUAAUCUCAGCUACUUGUGAGACUGAGGCAGGAGAAUUGCUUGAACCCGAGAGUCAGAGAUUGCAAGGAAUCGAGAUCAUGCCACUGCACACCAGCUUAGGUUAUGUUCUUUAUUGUCUAUAAUGAUUUUCUUUAUUUCUCCUCUGUUUAAGGAUAUUGAAAAACAAAGUUUAAUCUUUGAAGAUCUUUGAGGAUGGUUUUUAAGACCAAAAAUUUGAAGGACAUGCGAAUGAUGUGUGUGUGGAAGAACUACUGGAAGACAUUCCUUUCAGAAGUCCCUCAUGAUAGGGAAUCCCAAGGCUGGAAACCAUCAUUCAAGUGGGCAAUCAAAUUACAUUUGUUAUUAAAAGCCACCCUGAGUGAAUCCCAGCAUUGCCCUACAUAAAAUAUAUCCUUAAUGGUAUUUCCUAUUUGAUGUCUGACUCCCCCUCCUCCUUCACUAAAAGUGGAGACAAGGUUUCUCUAUGUCACCCAGGCUGGUUUCAAACUCCUGGACCUAAGUGAUUCACCUGCCUUGGCCUUUAAAACUGCUGCAAUUACAGGUGUGAACCACCAUGCCUGUUUUUCUUCUCAUUUUUCUCUCUUCCCUUCCUUCUUUGGUAGAGGGAAAUGUGUCAUGUACCAGCUAUUCAUCCAAUGACUGCUCCUCAGUUCCAAAUUCACUGUUCACUGCCUCCUUUGCAAAUGUAGAGGUGGGUUCCUUAAAUGCUUCCUCUGUGAACUGUUGCAUUAUUAAAUGUUGUCAGUACAUGGUGCUAGAGGGGCGUUCUAAGAGGCUUUUCUUUCUAGUUGUGUGCAAAUCUUCACAGGCACUGAGCUUUUCCAGCACCAGGCCUUGCCCUGCAUGGUGCUUAGCAGCACACAGUGACCAGCAGUUUCUCUGCAUUUGCCUGGGUGGUUUUCUAGUGAGACAACUGUUUACUAAUAGGUUAAGCUAUCACCCUAGAUGGUGGAUUUUCAGCAAACUCCAGAGGGCAUAUUGCUAGCAUGUUCCACCAUGUGGUAAUGCAGCAAUUCUGCCAUUGAAUUUCCCAUGACUGUGCCCUUUUCAAGGGGGCUUGGAUCUCAGCCUUAGUGGGCAAUCCCUUCCUUGGUCACUCUGUCUCAGUGUAGGGACAGUAGGAAGUUACUGCUCCUUGUAACAACUGGUCCUAUACUUUGUUUUUUUUUAGGCAGGGUCUCUCUCUUUUGCCCAGUCUAAAGUGCAGUGGUGAAAUCAUGGCUCACCGCAGCCUUAACCUUCUGGGCUGAAGCAAUUUUUUCACCUCAGCCUCCCAAGUGACUAGGACUACAAGUGUGUGCCACCACACCUGGCUUUUUUUUUUUUUUUUUUUUGGAGAGCCAGGGUCUCACUGUGUUUCCGAGGCUGGUCUCAAACUGCUGGCCUCAAGCAGUCCUCCUGCCUUGGCUUCCCAAAUUGCUGGAAUUGUAAGCAUGAGCCACCAUGUCUGGCCUCUGCUAGCCCUAUGUUCUCUAGAGUUCUUUUUCCUUUUGUAGCCAAUCUCUCAUAUGGUGUUCCCUUGUUAUAUAAUUAAUUUAUUUUACUUUAAAUUUUACCAGUUUAAACUUUGGGUGAUUUUUGUUUUUUGAUUGGAUUCUGACAAAUACAGAACUGAUGCUAGGAAGGGUUCUGGGAGAAAGACCCACACAAAUGGGAUCUGGGCAUAGGUUUGGUUAUCCAAGGGGUAGCAUUGAGCUCCUUGUCAAUGGGAAAUGGGAUGCUGGUGAUUUUUAGGAAGUGACCUCAUAAUGUUUCAAGCUACCACUUCCUGUUGAUUGUGAUGAAAUGCCAGCUGAGACACAUGCCAUAGGAGCUAAGUGGCUUCUGUACUUGACCACUAUGAAGACUGCUGUGGAGAGGGUCCUUUUGGAUGCAGUGGAGCAGGGGCACCUAAUCCCUGAAUCACAGGCCUGUACUUGGCCACACAGCAGGAGGUGAGCAGCAGGUGGGCGAGCAAAGCUUCAUCUGUAUCUAUGGCCACUCCCCUCUUUGCCACCUGAUCUCCACCUCAUGUCAGGUCAGUGGCAGCAUUAGAUUCUCAUAGGAGCAGGAACCCUAUUGUGUAACUGUGCAUGCAAGGGUUCUACCUUGCUGUGUCUUUAUGAGAAUCUGAUGCCUGAUAAUCUGUCACUAUCUUUCAUCACCCCCAGAUGGGACCAUCUAGUUGCAGGAAAACAAACAAGCCCAGGAUUCCCACUGAUUGUACAUUAUGGGUUGAUAUUAUUGAAAAUCAAACUCAAACUUAAAUGUGUGAAUUGCUGAAUUACAAUGACAGUUGAAUUCACUGCAUCACCAAGUUUCUCAUGAGAACCUGGGGGCACUAAUAGGUGAAGAAUGGGAUUCUUUUUCAUUUUGAGACCGUCUCCCUCUGUUGCCCAGGCUGGAGCACAGCGAUGUGAUCUUGGCUCACUGCAGUCUCAACCUCCCGGGCUUAAGCUAUCCUCCUGCCUCAGCCUCUGGGGUAGCUGAGGUAUGACCACAGCCUCAGCCGAGGUGUCUCACCCCAUUCUCUAUGAUGCUACAAGAAGCCCCUUGGGAGCAUUUCAGUCCCACUCUGUACUUCUGUCAUUGUGCUCCUCACAGUCUGAAAACCAUUUCUUCAACAAGGAGAAAUAAAUGUCAUCCAAAGAGCCCUAGGAGCAAGGGCAGACUCAGAAAGUCAGAAGCACUGUAGUCAUUUUGAGCAGCUUCUACGUCUGCUAAGCUGGCAGUGCCAGAAGCACCUAAGCUGAACAGUCCCUUGAGAAGAAGUACUAUCCUGUGGUUUCAUAACCUUUCUUCCAUUUGUGGUUCUUCCCGAGUUAAAUUUAAAGUGCAUCUUACCAAGAUGGAUAAACCCAAGUUUUCCAGAGCUGGAAUAUAGAAAAUGGAUGGACAUAUAAGUCCCACUCACCCAUAGCCAAGGCAUGGAGACCUGAACACACCUGGGCCCUAGACAUCACCUUUCAUUCUGGAUCUACCAUGAAAGACAUCAGAGUUCAGGAGGAGACUGGGCAUCAUGUUAUUCAGUAGAGACGGGGUUUCACCAUGUUGACCAGGAUGGUCUCGAUCUCCUGACCUCGUGAUCCAACUGCCUCAAGUCAAGCUCUUCAGGCCCACCUUGAGCCUUCCGAUGACCUGGACAGGCCCAGCUCUUUCCUCCCAGUGGCCUCUGCAGGCCUAGCUUUUGCCUCACAGUGUCUCCAGGCCCAGAACUUCCUUAUAAUGUCCAGCUCUUCCUCCCAGUUGCAUCUCCAGGACCAACUCCUGCCUGACACCCUCCUUUGGAUCAGCUACACAGCUCUUGGUGGCCUUUGUAGGCCAAAAACUUUCUCAACUCAAGUUACCCAGCAGAAACUUCUGAGGAACAAUGGCUUAAACAGGCAUAGCUACUGGAUGACAAUAGACUCUCCAGGACCAACUCUUACCUCAUGAAGGUUUCCCUGGCAAAGCUCUUGCCGGCCUCCCAGCAGCCUUGAGAGGCCCAGCUGCUGCCUGACACUGACUUCAUUAGGCCAAGCUCCUACCCACUAGGUGGCCUCUCUAGGCUCAAAACUUCCUCAUAUGGGCCCCUUCUGGGCCAGCUCCUGCCUCCCAAUGGCCCCCUUGGACCCUGUCGGCCUCUCCAGGAGACCCAGCCUCUGAUCACUCCUGGUGGCAUCCUCAGGCUUGGCUCCUACUCCUGGCCAUGUCUACAGGCCCAUGUCCUACCUCCCAACAACCUCUUUUGACUCGGCUCCUGACCAGCUCCCGGUGGCCUGGACAGGCCGAGCUACCACCUGACAAUAUCCUCUCCAGGGCCAGAUCUGGCAUCCCUGCAGCCUCCUUAUGAUGAGCUGCUACCUGCCAAUGGCUUCCCCAGGCCAAGAUCCUGACUGCCUUCCUGCCUGCAUCCUGCCUCCACAGGCCCACUACCUCCCUCACAGUGGCCACUGGGGCCCAGCCCGUGCCUGUGGCAAACCUCUCUGGACCCAGCUCUCACCUCACGCUGGCCUCGGUCUAGGCCCAGGUCCUCCCUCGCAGCGGCCUUCCUCAGCCCAGCUCACCUAUCAUCGUCUCUACUAGGCCAGCUCCUGACUCUUGGUGGCCUGUCCAGGCCCGAAGGUUCCUCUCCGGGCCCAGCCUCUCCAGGCCUGGCUCCUGCCUGCGCUAGGCCCCUCUGGGCCCAGCCUCCACCUAACAGUGGACCCUCCAGACCCAGCUUGUGGCCUCAUCGUGGCCUGCACUCAGCCCAGCUCCUGCCUCUGUGGCAGCCUGUCUCCACAGGCCCAGCUCCUGGCCUCCUGGUGGCCCCCUCGGGCCAAACCGGUGCCCCCAGGCAGCCCUCUGUGCCUAGCGUUGGCCUUCUGGCAUCCUCUCCUUGUCCAGAAUGUCAGCCUCUUUGGUCCCAGCCCCUCCUUCUGGCGGCUUCUUAGGGCCAACCUUUCGUUCUCGCCUCGCAGCAACCUCUGUGGCUCGGUUCCUCCCUAGCUCCUGGAGGCCUUUAUAGGCCCAAAAGCUCAGGCCCUUGACUCAGGCUCUCCAGGACUACCCAGCUCAUGCCUCAUGCUGGCCUCUCCAGGCUCAGGUUCUGCCCACCCAGGGUUCCUAUAGGCCCCAGAUGUCCCAGAGUCGGCUUCUUCAGGCCCGGUUUCGGACUCCUCCUAUUGGCUUCUGCAGGCCCAAACAUUGGGUUCUCAAUUCGGCCUCUCCAGGCCCAGCUCCAGUUCUCCUGGUGUCUCCUCCCCAUGGGUGCAAACGUCAUCAUGUGGGUUCUUCUAGGGCCAGCUCAUGCCUCCCAAAGGCCCCCUGGGCUUAGCUCCUGCCUUCCAUCAGCCUCUCCUGAAGGCCCAGCAUCUGCCUCUGUACUGGCGGCCUCUCAAGGCCUGGAUCCUCCUCCUGGCCACGUCUACGGGCCCAAGUUUUGCCCCCGGCAGCCUCUUUUUUUUUUUUUUUUUAAGAGAUGGAGUUUUGCUCUUGUUUCCCAGGCGUGGGUACAAUGAAGUGAUCUCGGCUCACCUCAACCUCCGCCUUUUGGGUUUAGGCAAUUCUGCCUCAGCCUCCUGAGUAGCUGGAGUUACAGGCACGCGCCACCAUACCCAGCUAAUCAUUUUCUUUUUUUUUUUGAGACAGAGUUUCGCUCUUGUUACCCAGGCUGGAGUAGAAUGGUGCGAUCUUGGCUCACCGCAAACUCUGCCUCCUGGGUUCAGGCAAUUCUCCUGCCUCAGCCUCCUGAGUCGCUGGGAUUACAGGCACCCGCCACUGUGCCCAGCUAAUUUUUUUUUUUUUUUGAGAUGGAGUUUUGCUCUUGUUGCCCAGGCUGGAGUGCAAUGGUGUGAUCUCGGCUCACCGCAACCUCUGCCUCCUGGGUUCAGGCAAUUCUCCUGCCUCAGCCUGCUGAGUAACUGGGAUUACAGGCACACACCACCAUGGCCAACUAAUGUUUUUUUUUCUUUUUGAGACGGAGUUUUGCUCUUGUUCCCCAGGCUGGAGUGCAGUGGUGCAAUCUCGGCUCACUGCCACCUCUCCCUCCUGGGUUCAGGCAAUUCUCCUGCCUCAGCCUGCUGAGUAGCUGGGAUGACAGGCACGCACCACCAUACCCAGCUAAUUUUUUGUAUUUUUAGUAGAGACGGGGUUUCACCAUGUUGACCAGGAUGGUCUCGAUCUCCUGACCUCGUGAUCCACCCGCCUCGGCCUCCCAACGUGUUGGGAUUACAGGCGUGAGCUACUGUGCCUGGUCCCCAGCAGCGUCUUUUGGCUCGGCUCCUGGCCAGCGCCCGGAGGCCUUUCAUCUGUCAGCCCAAAGCUUCCUCAGUGUCCCUUCUGUUGAGGCCACUGGGAGGCAGAAGGGACGCCCUGAAGGCCCCACCUGAGGAAGCUUUGGGCCGACAGAUGAAAGGCCUCUGGGAACUGGCCAGGAGUCAAGCCAAAAGAGGCUGCCAGGGGCAAAACUUGGGCCUGUAGAUGUGGCCAGGAGGGGGGUGCCAGGCCUGGUGUGGCUGCCAGUAGGGAGACAGAGGCUGGGGCUCCUGGAGAGGCCGUGUGAUGGGAAUCAGGACCUGGGCCCCAUGGGGCCACUGGGAUGCAGGACCUAGCCCCGGAGGGGACCACGUGAUGAUGUAUUGCGCCCACGUUGGGGGGUGCCACCAGGAGGGCAGGAGCUGGACCUGCAGACACGGACUUCAUGACCCAAUGCUUGGGCCUCCCGAGGCCAGCGGGAGGACAAAGCAGGACUGGGCCUCAGGGCUGAGCUCUGGAGUCCCCCCAGCCUCCCCAGCCCCAGCUGCUGCCUGCUGGCUGCUUCCGCAGGCCAAGAUCCUGCCUGCCUGCAUCCUGGCUGCCUCCACAGGCCCAGCGCCUCCCUCACACUGGCCAGUUGAAGCUCAAUUCAUGCCUUUGCAGUACAUCUCUGGAGCCAGCUCUCGGCUGGUGCUGGCCUUGAGUCUGGACCCAGGCCCUCCCUCGCACCAGCCUUUCUUGGCCCAGCUCGCCUCUCAUAAAUGCUCUGGCCAGCUCCUGCCUCCCAGCGGCCUGUCCAGGCCCGAAGCUUCCUCUUUGGGCCCCGCCUCUCUGGGCCCAGCCUCCGCCUCUCAGUGGACCCUCCAGACCCAGCUUGUGGCCUCAUCAUGGCCUCUGCUCAGCUCAGCUCCUGCCUCUGUCUUCACAGGCCCAGCUUGUAGCCUCCUGGUGGCCCCCUCGGGCCAAACUGGUGCCCCAGGCGGCCCUUCCAUGCCCAGCGUUGGCCUUCUGGCAUCCUCUCCUUGUCCAGAGUGUCUUCAGGUCAGCCUCUUGGGGCCCAGGCCCUCCUUCCGGCGGCUUCUAAGGGCCAAUCUUCCAUUCUCGCCUCGCAGCAACCUCUGUGGACUCGGCUCCUCCCCAGCUCCCGGAGGCCUUUGUAGGCCGGAAAGCUCAGGCCCUCAACUCAGGCUCCUCAAGACUACCCAGGUCAUGCCUCACGCUGGCCUCUUCAGGCUCAGCUUCUGCCCAGCCAGGGUUCCUAUCGGCCCCAGAUGUCCCAGAGUCGGCUUCUCCAGGCCCGGGUCUGGCCUCCUCCUAUUGGCUUCUGCAGGCCCAACCACUGGGUUCUCAAUUCGGCCUCUCCAGGCCCAGCUCCAGUUCUCCUGGCAUCUCCUCCCCAUGGGUGCAAAACGUCAUCACAUGGGCCCUUCUAGGGCCAGCUCAUGCCUCCCAAAGGCCCCCUGGGCUUAGCUCCUGCCUCCCAUCAGCCUCUCCUGGAGCCCCAUUCGCUGCCUCCAUACUGGUGGCCUCUGCAAGCCUGGAUCCUCCUCUUGGCCAUGUCUACGGGCCCAAGUUUUGCCCCUGGAAGCCUCUUUUUUUUUUUUUUUGAGAUGGAGUUUUUCUUUUGUUACCCAGGCGCGAGUGCAAUGACCUGAUCUCGGCUCACCUCAACCUUUGCCUCUUGGGUUCAGGCAGUUCUCCUGCCUCAGCCUCCUGAGUAGCUGGGAUUACAGGCAUGCACCACCAUGCCCAGCUAAUUUUUUGUAUUUUUUUUUUUUUUUUUGAGAUGGAAUUUUGCUCUUGUUACCCAGGCUGGAGUAGAAUGGUGUGAUCUCAGCUCACCACAACCUCCGCCUUUUGUGUUCAGGCAAUUCUCUUUCCUCAGCCUCCUGAGUAGCUGGGAUUACAGGCACGCCCCACCGUGCCCAGCUAAUUUUUUUUUAAUUUUAUUUUUGAGAUGGCGUUUUGCUCUUGUUGCCCAGGCUGGAGAGCAAUGGCACGAUCUCAGUUCACCACAAUGUCCGCCUCCUGGGUUCAGGCAGUUCUCCUGCCUCAGCCUCCUCAGCAGCUGGGAUUACAGGCACACACCACCAUGCCCAGCUAAUUUUUUGUAUUUUUUUUUGAGACCUAUUUUCACUCUUGUUACCCAGGCUCGAGUAGAAUGGUGUGAUCUCGGCUCACCACAACCUCUGCCUUUUGGGUUCAGGCAAUACUCCUUCCUCAGUCUCCUGAGUAGCUGGGAUUACAGGCACGCCCCACCGUGCCCAGCUAAUUUUUGUUUUUUUUUUGAGAUGGAGUUUCGCUCUUGUUGCCCAGGCUGGAGUUCAAUGGAACGAUCUUCGUUCACCGCAAUGUCCGCCUCCUGGGUCAGGCAAUUCUCCUGCCUCAGCCUCCUGAGCAGCUGGGAUUACAGGCACACACCACCAUGCCCAGCUAAUUUUUUGUAUUUUUAGUAGAGACGGGGUUUCACCAUGUUCACCAGGAUGGUCUUGAUCUCCUGACCUCGUGAUCCACCCAUCUCGGCCUCCCAAAGUGCUGGGAUUAUAGGCGUGAGCCACUGCGCCUGGUCCCCAGCAGCAUCUUUUGGCUCAGCUCCUGGCCAUCUCCUGGAGGCGUUUCAUCUGUCGGCCCAAAGCUUCCUCAGGUGGCACCUUUUGGGCAUCCCUUCUGCCUCCCAGUGGCCUCAACAGAAGGGACACCUAGAAGGACCUCCCUGAGGAAGCUUCGGGUCGACAGACGAAAGGCUGAGCCAAAAGAGGCUGCCUGGUGCAAAACUUGGGCCGGUUGAUGUGGCCAGGAGAAGGUUCAGGCCUGGUGAGGCUGCCAGUAGGGAGGCACAGGCUGGGCCUCCUGGAGUGACUGCCUGAUGGGAAGAGGACCUGGGCCCCAUGGGGCCACUGGGAUGCAGGACCUAGCCCCGGAGGGGACCACGUGAUGAUGUAUUGCACCCACGUUGGGGGGUGCCGCCGGGAGGGCAGGAGCUGGACCUGCAGACGCGGACUUCAUGACCCAAUGCUUGGGCCUCCCGAGGCCAGCGGGAGGACAAAGCAGGACUGGGCCUCAGGGCCGAGCUCUGGAGUCCCCGCAGCCUCCCCAGCCCCAGCUGCUGCCUGCUGGCUGCUUCCGCAGGCCAAGAUCUUGCCUACCUGCAUCCUGGCUGAAUCCACAGGCCCAGCGCCUCCCUCACACUGGCCAGUUGAGGCUCAAUUCAUGCCUCUGAAAGACGUCUCUGGAGCCAGCUCUCGCCUGGUGCUGGCCUUGAGUCUGGGCCCAGGUCCUCCUUUGCACACGCCUUUCUUGGCCCAGCUCACCUGUCACAGACUCUUCUGAGACAGCUCCUGUCUCCCGGCAGCCUGUCGGCCCGAAGCUUUCUCUGUGGGCCCAGCCUCCCCACACCGGGCUCCUGCCUGCGCUAGGCCUCCUUAGUAGCUGGGAUUACGGGCAUGCACCACCAUGCCCAGCUAAUUUUUUCAGCCUCCCCCUUUCAGAGGACCCUUCAGACUCAGCUCCUGCCUUUGUGGCAGCCUGUCUCCACAGGCCCAGUCUUCAGCCUUUCUGUGGCCACAUGGGGCCAAGCCAAUGCCUCCCAGGGGCCCUGCCAGACCCAGAGUUGGCCUUCUGAUGUCCUUUCCAUGUCCAGAACGUCUUCAGGUCGGCCUCUUGGGGCCCAGCUCCUCCUCCCCUUGGCGUCUACAGGCCCAACAUGUGAAUUUGCCGCAUAGAAACCUCUGUGGACUCGGCUCCUGCCCAGCUCCCGACAGCCUUUGUAGGCCCGAAAGCUCAGAUUAUCUACUCAGACUCUCCAGGCCCACCUAGCUUAUGCCUAACGACUGGCCCCUCCAGGUUCAGCUCCUGCCCUUUUAAGGGCAUCUCCAGGCCCCAGACAUUCCUGAGUCGGCUUCUCCCCUUUCGGCUCCUGCUGCCUCCUCCUGCUGGCCAUGUGAGGCCCAGUAUUGGGUCCUGAAUUCGGCCUCUCCAGGCCCAGCUCCUGCCCUCCUGGCAUCUUUCCAUGGGUGAAAAACAUCCUCACAUGGGUGCCUCCAGGGCCAGCUGCUGCCUCCCAACGGCCCCCUGGGGCCCAACUUCUGCCUCCCCUCAGCCUCUCCGGGAGGUCCAGCCUAUGCCUCCCUUCUGGCAGCCUCCCCAGGCCCGGAUUCUCCACCUGGCCUCAUCUACUGGACCACGUCCUGCCUCCCAGCAGCUGCUUUUCACUCGGCUCCUGACCAGCUUCCAGCGACCUUUUGUAGGCCCGAAGCUUUCUCAAGUGGGGCUUUCUGGGCCUCCGUUCUGCCUCCCGGUGGCCUUGACAGGCCCUGCUACCACCUGACAUUGGUGCCUCCUGGCCCAGCUCUGGACUCUCCACAGCCUCCCCAGCACCAGCUGCUGCCUGCUGAUGGCUUUUCCAGACCAAGAUCCUGCCUGCCUGCAUUCUGGCUGCGUCCACAGGCCCAACGCUUCCCUCAUAGUGGCUCAUUGGAGCCCAGCGCUUUCCUGACAGUGGCUCAUUGGAGCCCAGCACUUCCCUCACAGUGGCUCAUUGGAGCCCAGCGCUUCCCUCACAGUGGCUCAUUGGAGCCCAGCGCUUCCCUCACAGUGGCUCAUUGGAACCCAGCACUUCCCUCACAGUGGCUCAUUGGGGCCCAGCUCAUGCCUGUGGCAAACCUCUCCGGACCCAGCUCUCGCCUCUUGCCUUGAGUCUAGGCCCAGAUGCUCCCUCGCAGGGGUCUUCCUGAGCACAGCUCGCCUAUCGCAGACUCUCCCGGGCCAGCUCCUGCCUCCUGGUGGCCUGUCCAGGCCCAAAGCUUCCUCUUUGUGCCCGGCCUCCCCAGGCCCAGCUUUUGCCUGCGCCAGGCCCAUACCGGGCCCAGCCUCCGCCUUUCAGUGGACCCUCCAGGCCCAGCUUGUGGCAUCACCAUGGCCUCUGCUCAGGCCCAGCUCCUGCCUCUGUGGCAGCCUGUAUCCACAGGCCCCACCCCCAGUCUCUCCAUGGCCCCAUUGGGCCAAGCUGAUGCCUCCCGGUGGCCCUCCCGGGCCCAGCAUUUGCCUGCUGGCAUCCUCUCUGGGCCCAGAACGUCUUCAGCUGCGGCAUGAAGCUGAACUUGGACUACCUGCUGGAGAUGCUUUGGGAGUACUUGGCCCUGACCUGCAUCUACACCAGGAAAAGAGGAUAGAGGCCGGACUUCACAGACGCCAUCAUUCUCUGGAAAGGGGCCUCAGUGGAGCACGUGGUGUUAUUUUCCUCAAGCUGAUUUCUUCUUGGGAUCUGUAUCAUGGAAGCAAGGGACACUGUCCCUCUAGCCCCUUAUGACAGUGGUGGCUGGGCUUGCAAUCUGGUCUCAUGCAUUCAUUCCUUCUGAAAGCCCAGCCCCAGGUCUCUGGGUGCCACCCUGGAGGUGUUGAACAGAUGAGGCCAUGCAAAGUCCCAUCUCUCUAAGACCUAGGCUUGAGAUCACAUCAGGAGGAGCCAAGAAGGCUCACGAUCACCCUCGUGAAUCCCUUCAGACACUCACAAGUGGCAAGCUGAGUAAAAAGUAAGACUCAUUUGCAGGCCCGAAUCAGCCACCUUCCCAUCUCUGUCAGGGAAGUGGACCUGCAGGCCUGGCGCCACCUCUGCCCCAGGGACACUGGGCUGAGGUGUUUUGUCUCUCACUGGGGCCUGGAAGACUUGUGGGCAUGUAGGGGGAGGAGCCUUAUCGCACAAUUGCAGAGUCCCUUCCCUGACGCCCUCCACUGUCCCACCAUCAGAGUGGCAACCAGAAGUCCACACUCAGGGCAAAUGCUGGCUGCCCCUCCAGGGUCUCCUUCCAAUUUCACGUGACAUCUGGGACCCUUUUGACCUUUAUCCCUACCAAGAAGCACUGGAGGGUGUACGCUGCUCUGAGAGUUGGGGGUGAUGUGAUAUGUGGGAGGCUUCAGGUCACAGGUGGGGCCAGGAGGAGUGAGAGACAGUGCAGUCAAGCUUGGGGUGGGGUUAGGUGGAGCUUCACCUUUCUGUCUCUCCCCUGUUUUUCUGUGCCUCUGUAUCCACCAGUCACUUGCUAGCCAGUUCAAGUAUGCCCUGGUGUGGGUAAGUGUCUGGGUGGGAGGCAGGCAGGGGGUUAGACCCAGCAGAGCCCCUGGAUUAGGCAUAGAGCAAGGCAUUCACAUUCCUCUGCAUGGUGUUCCUGUUUUUCCUGUGGGGAUUGGCAUGACUGUGUCUGUCCUCCAUAAAAUGUAUGUGUUCACCCAGGCUGGACAUGGGCCUUCCCCACUUUUUUUCUUUUUUCUUUUUUUGAGACAGGGUCUGGCUCUGUCUCCCAGGCUGGAGUGCAGUGGCACAAUUGCGACUCACUGCAGCCUUGACAUCCUGUGCUCAAGCAAUCCUCCCACCUCAGCAUCACAUGUAGCUGGGAGUAUAGGCACACAGCAGCAUGCUUGGCUGAUUUUUCAUGGAGAUGGGAUCUUGCUAUCUGGCCCAGACUGG